GCUUCAGUUACGCGAUGAGAUCUUGAGUUCAGAAGACGAAGCAGAGUUGACAGAAAUUUCUUCGGUAUGUUGCUGUCAGCUUGGUUGCUGCUCAUGGCGACGGUGGCAGGCACCAGCGGCGAGCUGGUGGCGGUCACAACUGAAAUGUUGGCAUCAAAAGGCAGUCGGGUGACAGUGUCAUAUGUUUACGCCGAUAAGGCUAUUAGUGGUGAUGAUUUUUUGUGGUAUAAACAACUUCCUGGACAAGCGCCACACUUCUUGCUUUCCCACUUAGGAAACGGCAAACCAUUGAAGGUCAAGCCGGGAAUGUCGGUCAGCAUAGCAAGUGACAGGGAGCGAGUGCACCUGUACAUGGAGGAAGUGUCUCUUGAGCACUCUGCAGUUUACUACUGUGCUGUGAGGCCCACAGUGAUACACAUGCCACAUUCUUGCUACAAGAACAUUUCCUGCUUCUGAACUCAUCACACUCACCUCUAAGAGAGGAACAACUUACCUAGAUAUACAAAGGCCAAUUCGAAAGUUUGGACGUUGUGCAAUGUGUCAACAAAAACAAAAUACUAUUUUUUUUCAACCUCGUGGGCUGUGGUCUGAGGAGCCCUCAUUUCAACUUGUUUUUGGUCAUCAUGUUCAUUGUGUUAUCUGGGCCAAAGAUGAAAAGGACCAUCUGCUGUGUUAUUCGCACCAACAGUUUUUUGGGAUCUGUAGAUGUUCUUGUCAGGGAGGUGUGAUGACAUUCAGAGACGACAUGGUGAUUUUUGAAGGGCACUGUUGU
Molecule: non-coding RNA, 772 nt
Organism: Hippocampus comes (tiger tail seahorse)
Lineage: Eukaryota; Metazoa; Chordata; Actinopteri; Syngnathiformes; Syngnathidae
Source: the annotation of a RefSeq genome assembly